ACCGCGUCGCGAAGACGCGGGGUGGGCCGGGCCUCUGUUACCAAGGGUCCGCGCACCCCGCGAGGCGGAGCCGCGAGCAGGGCCCGGCCAUUCACUGCUUCCCUGUGGACAGCGAUUUCUCCAGCACUCAUGCUGUGACCUCUUCGGCUGACCAGCACCUAGAGACAGAGCCAGCUCUGUGAGAAUGUUCAGUAGAAUGGUUCCUGUCCAGCCCAGAACUGUGGUCAGAUGCCAGUGGCCACUCACAAGGCCAUUGCUUUAGUGAAUCUUCUUUACAGAUGUGUAUUGAGUGACUGUAUGAAGUUAGUACAUGCUGAGAGUCAAGAGGGUUUCCUGGAUGUCUCCUUCCCCUUCCAGGAUUGAAAACUAAGCUGCAUAAUGAAUAUGAGAAAUGGUGAGAAAAGAAAUCAACCAUAAUUUUCUUUCUUUUAUGCUACAAAUGGUCUUUUUGUGAAGUGUAUCUAUCAAAAAAAUACUCCUUAUCUAGGCUUGCACAAUUUUGUUGAUUAUAUUAUUGUAAUAUUCUAUUUAAAUAUUAAUUCACUUUGAUGCCCUCACUAUUUGGAAGAGGGGUGUAUUUGAGGAAAUUGUAAUUAAAGAACAUGAAUAUAAUAUAUUUCUUGUACUAAAGGCCUUCUUCUUUUUUUUUUUUUUUGGUGCGGAGGAUUGAACUCAGGGGUGCUUAACCACUGAGUCAUACUCCCAGCGCUUUUUUAUAUUUUUAUAUUUAUAGAUAGUGUCUCACUGAGUUGCACUAGAACUUCUGGGAUUACAGGUGUGCGCCACUGUGCCUGACACAUCCCCACCCCUGUUUAUGUUUUAUUUUGAGGUAGGGUCUCACUAAGUUGCUGAGGCUGGCUUUGAACUAGCGAUCCUCCUGCCUCAGCCUUCAGGGAUUACAGGUGCCAUCUGUUAUUUUUCUCUCCAUCUAUUUGUCUUUAGUUUGUAUAAUGUUGAGCACUUACUACGUUGUUGGCCUGGGUUGGGGUCCACAUGCUUUUUUUUUGCUUACCUUCACAACCUGCCUGUGUAAAAGGAGUUGCUUUUCCCAUUUUCAGGGACAUGGGUUAAAGGACUUUAUAAAGUGGAUAAAUGCUAGAACAUGGCCUUUAUUCCAGGCGGCCUGCUAAUAGAACCUGUGUUCUUGACUAGUACUCUACCACUCUCCAGUGUUUGUAUACUCCCCGAAUCCUGCCAAGGCUUGGACUCUAAGAAUACCUGCAAUGUGGUAAAAUAGAAACAUGGAAAUCAGGAUCAUGAAAAAAGGCACACAGAGUGGGAAAAUAACAUCAGGAGAGAAGAGAUUGCACAGAUCGUCGGAGAUAAGGAGUAGAGUUGGACUGCAAAUUUAGCUGCACAUUUUGUCAACCCAAGGAAAAAAAAAGAAGGAAGUUGCAUCGUUUUGUACAAGUAAAGAAGACUUUUGGUUUUGGUUUUGGUACUGGGGAUUGAACUCGGGCACUCGACCACUGAGCCACAUCCCCAGCCCUAUUUUGUACUUUAUUUAGAGACAGGGUCUCAUUGAGUUGCUUAGUGCCUUACUUAGGCUGGCUUUGAACUUGCUAUCCUCCUAAACAAAACCUUUUAGUUCCUCCUGGAAUAACAGUUCUGUGUUACCUAGAUCAAAGAGAACUUUCUCGUGGGGCUCAUCUCAGAGACUGGGAAGGGCCUGGGUUACAGGUGGGUGAGGGAAGUGGAGGCUUAGCGUUCCACUAUCAGGGAGUGUGUGGGCUACUGUGUUGGAACUGAAUAUUGAAAUUAAAGAUUCCUGAAUAAUCGUUUCCAGUAACGCCCUCUGAUUGCCUCCACUGUGGGACUUUGUGAACAGUGUUAUCCUGUCCCCUUGGUUGGUUCGGUCCUUUACUUGUUCAUUUCCUUAGCAGCGAUUCAUUGAGCGCUUGC
Molecule: long non-coding RNA, 1902 nt
Organism: Marmota monax (woodchuck)
Lineage: Eukaryota; Metazoa; Chordata; Mammalia; Rodentia; Sciuridae
Exons: 3
Source: RefSeq, a predicted model, not a curated record